Molecule: long non-coding RNA, 1057 nt
Organism: Syzygium oleosum
Lineage: Eukaryota; Viridiplantae; Streptophyta; Magnoliopsida; Myrtales; Myrtaceae
Exons: 5
Source: RefSeq, a predicted model, not a curated record
UAGGGCUCUCUCUCUCUCUCUCUCUUCUUGAACAGAGCGCAAAAAAUUAGGGCUUUAGGUUCUUCGACGGCUUUCGACGAGUCGGCGACCGGUGGCGAGGGAUUGAUUCCGUGCAACAGCGGUUUUUCUUGGAGAGAGGAACCCCUUCGGCGGACGCUGAGAAGAUCGUGGAGAAGAAGAGGAAUCUCAAGCCCGAGGACCCAUACGAGGAGGAUCGUCGUCCAAGAGUUUUAAAGGAAGAUUCCCUUGGAGGAAAUAGCAAAACAUUGAUGAUAGCUUGUGUGAGUCCUGCCGAAACAAAUGCUGAGGAGACAUUGAACACCCUUAAGUAUGCAAAUCGUGCUCGCAACAUUCAAAACAAAUCCGCGAUCAAUCGUGAUCCGAUGGCAGCUCAAAUGCAAAGGAUACGAAGCCAAGUAAAGCAGUUGCAAGCGGAGCUUCUACUAUAUCCUAGCGGACCAUAUGAAGAACUUCAAGUAGAAGACUAUAUUUAAGUUCUCUCACAGUCCUUACAAUCUGGUUUAGGUUUUGACUUGAAAUUGCUUUUACGGAUCCUCAAGCAUAAAGUUUCUUUGCUUGAAGCAAGCAAUGUGGAGUUACAAAGGGAGUUGCAAGAGCGUCAUAUCACUUGUGAGCAUUUGAUGUAGCGUGUUGUUGAUGCACGGGUACAUCUAACUGGUUUUCCUACGCCAGAGCAUUUAUUGCAGAGUUUUUGCAUAUGAAUCUUCUGAUUCAUGCUCCUUGGAUGUGGUAGGUCAAAAAAGACAAAUUGAUUAUGAAAAUUGAAUCAGCUCGAAGUGGCAAAUCGUGGGAUGAAAUUGAUUGUUAACUGACUUGGGGAAUUGGAUUCAGAGCACAUCCGAGGAGAUGGUUAGGAGAAAGUCAUUAGAAUGCUCCUCUGCUAUAAUCCACUCUAGCUUAGGAUAGGGAUACGUUAUUCAUUGUUAUGCUAAGUCUGAUCAAGAUAUUUCAUUGUUGAAACUGGUCAUCGAAAUGUUUUCUGGAUGAUGGAAAUGAGGGUGAAGGGACCCUAUUUAUACAAGAACUCUUCUGAUUA